GGGCCCGUGGGGUAGUUUGGAAUCCUUCCAGCAUGGGGCGCUGGUAACCUGAGUUCAAAUCUCAGCGGGCCCA
Molecule: transfer RNA, 73 nt
Filed under: Thermoplasmatales archaeon
Lineage: Archaea; Methanobacteriati; Thermoplasmatota; Thermoplasmata; Thermoplasmatales
Also listed under: 1 other name
Description: tRNA-Pro
Rfam family: tRNA
About the family: Transfer RNA (tRNA) molecules are approximately 80 nucleotides in length.
Source: RNAcentral